Molecule: ribosomal RNA, 435 nt
Filed under: uncultured bacterium
Lineage: Bacteria
Description: bacterial SSU rRNA
Rfam family: Bacterial small subunit ribosomal RNA
Source: RNAcentral
UACGGAAGGCAGCAGGGGGAAUAUUGCACAAUGGGCGCAAGCCUGAUGCAGCCAUGCCGCGUGUAUGAAGAAGGCCUUCGGGUUGUAAAGUACUUUCAGUCGUGAGGAAGGUGUUAAGGUUAAUAACCUUAGCAAUUGACGUUAGCGACAGAAGAAGCACCGGCUAACUCCGUGCCAGCAGCCGCGGUAAUACGGAGGGUGCGAGCGUUAAUCGGAAUUACUGGGCGUAAAGGGCACGCAGGCGGUUAAUUAAGUUGGAUGUGAAAUCCCCGGGCUUAACCUGGGAAUGGCAUUCAAGACUGGUUAGCUAGAGUCUUGUAGAGGGGGUAGAAUUCCAUGUGUAGCGGUGAAAUGCGUAGAGAUGUGGAGGAAUACCGGUGGCGAAGGCGGCCCCUGGGACAAAGACUGACGCUCAUGUGCGAAAGCGUGGGGAGC